RNAcentral lists this long non-coding RNA (933 nucleotides) under Pan troglodytes (chimpanzee). RNAcentral describes it as "lncRNA (ENSPTRG00000053043.1)". Lineage: Eukaryota; Metazoa; Chordata; Mammalia; Primates; Hominidae. The record is from RNAcentral.
GUUUUUUUCCAUUUCUUCAUAUAAAAAUUUUCAUAUUGCUGUUUCCAAAUUUAUUUUUCUUAAUUUAUCACUGUUCUGUCUACUAACAGUAGAUAAGGAUUUAUUUAGCUUAAUAAUACUGACCUUUAUAGUCUCAUCCUCACCUCUAUCCAAAGGUACACAUAGGUCCUUCACAGGUCAUUUUUGCACCACUCAACAAUAUUACAUCAUCAUUUCUUGUUCCAUCAUAAUUGAGAGUAUCUACUGAUUUCUUAUUAUGAAGAUAAUGGCAUCCAUGUUCCUACACUUCUUCCACAUUCGUCCUCCCUUCAUCUAUUCUGUUCUUGAGCGACCAAGCUGAGAGUGCCAGAAGUUGGGCAUUUUGUGCCCUCAGGGGGAAAUUACCACUUUUAUGUUUUGGAAAAUAUAAAUUCACUGAGGGAAUGGAUUGCCUAAAAGGGAAUAGGUCUCAGAACACCAGAAAAAGGAGAUGUGGUUUGACCCGGAAAGGAGAGAACCAGAUUUCCUCACUCCUAUUCAAGCCAAUUACAGUAACAGAGGUGAAUAUUUUCGUGAGAUCUCAGAUGCCAAUAUCCAGAAGUACACGGCUGGCUCCAGUAUUUUUAAAAAUGCACUUAAACCACAUCUUAGAAUUGGGCAACGAAAAGAAGACAUCAUUGGAUACUAUAUCUGACCUUUGCUUUUGCUACCAGCAACAUAAAGUAAUACCAUUUACUGCACAGGUCAAAUCGAAAAAUCAUGUGAAGAUGACAUGGCCCUUUUUUCUCGAGAGCUACCAGUCACACUUCCUAAAUCUUCAUACCCAGGGAGGGUGACCUUCACAGACUACAUGGUUCUCCAGCCAAAUAUAUGCACUUUCCCACUGGAUCCACCAAACAAAUAAAUAAUGGUAAAGCAAGAAAAUUCAAUAUCUUAACUACAAUAAAGUCAUCC